GCCGGGCGCGGUGGCGCGCGCCUGUAGUCCCAGCUACUCGGGAGGCUGAGGCAGGAGGAUCGCUUGAGCUCAGGAGUUCUGGGCUGUAGUGCGCUAUGCCGAUCGGGUGUCCGCACUAAGUUCGGCAUCAAUAUGGUGACCUCCCGGGAGCGGGGGACCACCAGGUUGCCUAAGGAGGGGUGAACCGGCCCAGGUCGGAAACGGAGCAGGUCAAAACUCCCGUGCUGAUCAGUAGUGGGAUCGCGCCUGUGAAUAGCCACUGCACUCCAGCCUGGGCAACAUAGCGAGACCCCGUCUCUU
Molecule: signal recognition particle RNA, 300 nt
Filed under: Physeter macrocephalus (sperm whale)
Lineage: Eukaryota; Metazoa; Chordata; Mammalia; Artiodactyla; Physeteridae
Description: Physeter catodon (sperm whale) Metazoan signal recognition particle RNA (ENSPCTG00005007628.1)
Rfam family: Metazoan signal recognition particle RNA
About the family: The signal recognition particle (SRP) is a universally conserved ribonucleoprotein. It is involved in the co-translational targeting of proteins to membranes.
Source: Rfam by way of RNAcentral